Molecule: ribosomal RNA, 478 nt
Filed under: uncultured bacterium
Lineage: Bacteria
Description: partial 16S ribosomal RNA
Rfam family: Bacterial small subunit ribosomal RNA
Source: RNAcentral
GACGAUCGCUGGCGGCGUGCUUAACACAUGCAAGUCGAACGGUAAGGCCCUUCGGGGUACACGAGUGGCGAACGGGUGAGUAACACGUGGGUGAUCUGCCCUGCACUUCGGGAUAAGCCUGGGAAACCGGGUCUAAUACCGGAUAGGACCACUGCCUGCAUGGGUGGUGGUGGAAAGCUUUUGCGGUGUGGGAUGGGCCCGCGGCCUAUCAGCUUGUUGGUGGGGUGAUGGCCUACCAAGGCGACGACGGGUAGCCGGCCUGAGAGGGUGACCGGCCACACUGGGACUGAGAUACGGCCCAGACUCCUACGGGAGGCAGCAGUGGGGAAUAUUGCACAAUGGGCGCAAGCCUGAUGCAGCGACGCCGCGUGAGGGAUGACGGCCUUCGGGUUGUAAACCUCUUUCAGCACCGACGAAGCGCAAGUGACGGUAGGUGCAGAAGAAGGACCGGCCAACUACGUGCCAGCAGCCGCCGUAA